This 406-nucleotide ribosomal RNA is filed under the name uncultured bacterium. RNAcentral describes it as "partial 16S ribosomal RNA". It matches the Rfam family "Bacterial small subunit ribosomal RNA", at positions 30 to 526 of the family's 1533-position model. The record is from RNAcentral.
AUUGAACGCUGGCGGCAGGCCUAACACAUGCAAGUCGAACGAGUGGCGGACGGGUGAGUAAUGUCUGGGAAACUGCCUGAUGGCGGGGGAUAACUACUGGAAACGGUAGCUAAUACCGCAUACCAUCGGAUGUGCCCAGAUGGGAUUAGCGAGUAGGUGGGGUAAAGGCUCACCUAGGCGACGAUCCCUAGCUGGUCUGAGAGGAUGACCAGCCACACUGGAACUGAGACACGGUCCAGACGCCUACGGGAGGCAGCAGUGGGGAAUAUUGCGCAAUGGGCGCAAGCCUGAUGCAGCCAUGCCGCGUGUAUGAAGAAGGGCUUCGGGUUGUAAAGUACUUUCAGCGGGGAGGCGUUACCCGCAGAAGAAGCACCGGCUAACUCCGUGCCAGCAGCCGCGGUAAUUC